This 439-nucleotide ribosomal RNA is filed under the name uncultured bacterium. RNAcentral's name for it is "partial 16S ribosomal RNA". It matches the Rfam family "Bacterial small subunit ribosomal RNA", at positions 339 to 795 of the family's 1533-position model. The record is from RNAcentral.
CUACGGGGUGCUCCAGUGGGGAAUAUUGCACAAUGGAGGAAACUCUGAUGCAGCAACGCCGCGUGGAGGAUGACACUUUUCGGAGCGUAAACUCCUUUUAUAUAGGAAGAAGAUGACGGUACUAUAUGAAUAAGCGCCGGCUAACUCCGUGCCAGCAGCCGCGGUAAUACGGAGGGCGCAAGCGUUACUCGGAAUCACUGGGCGUAAAGAGCGUGUAGGCGGAUUAAAAAGUCAGAAGUGAAAUCCUAUAGCUUAACUAUAGAACUGCUUCUGAAACUCUUAAUCUAGAAUAUGGGAGAGGUAGAUGGAAUUUCUGGUGUAGGGGUAAAAUCCGUAGAGAUCAGAAGGAAUACCGAUUGCGAAGGCGAUCUCCUGGAACAUAACUGACGCUAAGGCGUGAAGGCGUGGGGAGCAAACAGGAUUAGAUACCCUAGUAGUC